Molecule: ribosomal RNA, 466 nt
Filed under: uncultured bacterium
Lineage: Bacteria
Description: partial 16S ribosomal RNA
Rfam family: Bacterial small subunit ribosomal RNA
Source: RNAcentral
GACGAACGCUGGCGGCGUGCUUAACACAUGCAAGUCGAACGGUAAGGCUCCAGCUUGCUGGGGUACACGAGUGGCGAACGGGUGAGUAACACGUGGGUGACCUGCCCUGCACUUCGGGAUAAGCCUGGGAAACUGGGUCUAAUACCGGAUAGGACCAUGGUGUGGAUACUGUGGUGGAAAGUUUUUUCGGUGUGGGAUGGGCCCGCGGCCUAUCAGCUUGUUGGUGGGGUAAUGGCCUACCAAGGCGGCGACGGGUAGCCGGCCUGAGAGGGUGGACGGCCACAUUGGGACUGAGACACGGCCCAGACUCCUACGGGAGGCAGCAGUGGGGAAUAUUGCACAAUGGGCGGAAGCCUGAUGCAGCGACGCCGCGUGGGGGAUGACGGCCUUCGGGUUGUAAACUCCUUUCACCAUCGACGAAGGGUUUCUGACGGUAGAUGGAGAAGAAGCGCCGGCUAACUACGUG